This is a long non-coding RNA of Condylostylus longicornis, 1241 nucleotides long. RefSeq lists it as uncharacterized. The record is from RefSeq and is a predicted model, not a curated record. The transcript has 3 exons. NCBI's taxonomy places the organism in Eukaryota, Metazoa, Arthropoda, Insecta, Diptera, Dolichopodidae.
AAUGACUAAACUCAAACUCAAUAUGAGAAACUCAAAAAAUGUUGAAAUUUUAAAUAAAUAUGGGCAAAAAUAUGUAAAAUAUAUUGCAAAACUAUCGCAGAUAUACAGAUUACAUUGAAAUACUAUUGCACAUACAAUGCAGAAUAGUUUACGGAAAUAUAACAAAUUCAAAAUAAGUUGAAGUUUUAAUGUUUACAUGAAAUAAUCCACAAAAAUCGUUGAAAAUUAAGCAAAAAUUGAUCAAAAAUGCACAAAAAUAAAAAGUUUUUAUUAAGCUAUUGCCCGAUUUAAAAAAAAUGAAAAAUCAUGUGUAAAAACACUUACAUAUAUUACAGAAGGAAUCCGUUAAAAAUUUUUACAAUGUAUUUUGUUAAUAAAACCGCAUAUUAAAAUUAACUUUUGGUAAUAUAACAAAAACUAUUAAGAAGAACACUUAGAAGAAUCAUACAUAUAUAUAAAUUUAUUAAUAUAAAUAUCAAUACAAAUUUAUUUUAACACACAUAUUGCAAAUGAAGUAAGAAACAAAGCAAAUCGAUAAUAAAUAUAACUUUAGAAUAAAAGUAAUAAAAAACAAAAUAGCAGAAUAUAAAUAAAUAUUUACAUAAUAGUACUAAUUAUAACGGGAGAUAAUAAAGCGAAGAAUGAACUAAGAGAAUGGCAUAGUAGAUUAAUAUGCGGAAAAAUAUACAAUAUAUAAUGUUGUAUGUAUGAUUGCAAUAAGUUAAAAUAUGUAAAAUAAGAAAAUUCGAAUUGAUGUUGUGUAGUUGAAAAAUUAAAUAACAAACCUUAAAAAAACAAAAAAAUUAACUGGAUAUAGUUUGAUGUUAAAGAAAAAUUUCAAUCACUUUUUAUUACAAAUUUUAUUUGAAACAUAUAAAUUUUUUGAAGGAAAAAUAAAAAAAAGAGUUUAUUCUAAUAAUAAGAUGUAAAACAAAUAAUUAAACAAAUUAGAAGCGGAAUAUUGGAAAAAAGAAUAAAAUUCAAAAAUAGUAAUAUUUAACUAAACUGAAAGAAUAUAAUUUUUAAUUCGAAAAAAGAAAACAUAUAUAGAAAAUAUACACAGAAAAUAUUUUGUUUUAAAUUGACAUUAAAAAUUAUUAACUACUAUUGGUGUCAUCAUGAAGAAAUUUACAUUCAAAGGGGUACUUGAUGGUUUUCGGUCACAGGUUCAACAGCAGUCCACAAAACCAGAACAAGAAAUUCAAGAGACACUGAGACAGGAUCAUUUUUCAUUAAAAAAG